Molecule: long non-coding RNA, 715 nt
Organism: Orbicella faveolata
Lineage: Eukaryota; Metazoa; Cnidaria; Anthozoa; Scleractinia; Merulinidae
Source: RefSeq, a predicted model, not a curated record
UUCAAAUCGUUCACUGAGAAAAUUACUUCAUGGUGACUGGUUGAGAGCAGGAAUAUUUAUGGUUAAGUUUUAAUUUGCACUAAUGCUUUGUUUGUGUUUCCAGACGGACAAAAGUCCCAGUAAGCUGAAAAGAAAGAAAGAUACCGCCGAAUCAAAACCUAGUCCAGGGAAAAAGAGUAAAGUGUCGGCUGCGUCGCCAACGAAACGAAAAGAACCAGCAUUGGUUGUGAAAAGGAAGGGCAGCAAGAGAAGAUAAAACGGAGAAUGAUAAUGAUAAUGAAAGAGUCACUGUACAUAGAAAACAAGAAUUCAAAUCCUUACGUUAGACUCCAAGCCACUAAUAUUGCUGUUGUACAUAGCUGUGCCUCUUGUGAACGCUACUACUUCAAGUUAGCGCUCAGAAUGAAGUCUGACGUGUUGUACCCUGGGAACUGGUUUCUGGCCGUCUUUACUUCCUUGACGGUCCUCUCUGACUCAACUGAGCCCGUUGCCGUUCUCAGCGGCGUUGCUACGCGACACGACGACUUGUCGCUAAAUCAAGGUGAUGCGAAGGUCGCGCUGCCGUCUUCGAGACGAAUUCGCACGGAACUUUCAUUGGUCCACUGGAAUCGGGAAUCUUCAGUACUCUUGACAAUGUGACCUCUCGUGUGGAAAUACAUCCAUAUAGGAAAUAAUCGAGUCUGCAAAAUAUCUCCGAACUAACAUGCAGUAAAAC